RNAcentral lists this ribosomal RNA (622 nucleotides) under Salmonella enterica subsp. enterica serovar Bovismorbificans. Its description in RNAcentral is "partial 23S ribosomal RNA". It matches the Rfam family "Bacterial large subunit ribosomal RNA", at positions 711 to 1330 of the family's 2925-position model. The record is from RNAcentral. RNAcentral also lists the same sequence under 2 other names. Lineage: Bacteria; Pseudomonadati; Pseudomonadota; Gammaproteobacteria; Enterobacterales; Enterobacteriaceae.
AGACCCGAAACCCGGUGAUCUAGCCAUGGGCAGGUUGAAGGUUGGGUAACACUAACUGGAGGACCGAACCGACUAAUGUUGAAAAAUUAGCGGAUGACCUGUGGCUGGGGGUGAAAGGCCAAUCAAACCGGGAGAUAGCUGGUUCUCCCCGAAAGCUAUUUAGGUAGCGCCUCGUGAAUUCAUCUCCGGGGGUAGAGCACUGUUUCGGCUAGGGGGCCAUCCCGGCUUACCAACCCGAUGCAAACUGCGAAUACCGGAGAAUGUUAUCACGGGAGACACACGGCGGGUGCUAACGUCCGUCGUGAAGAGGGAAACAACCCAGACCGCCAGCUAAGGUCCCAAAGUCAUGGUUAAGUGGGAAACGAUGUGGGAAGGCCCAGACAGCCAGGAUGUUGGCUUAGAAGCAGCCAUCAUUUAAAGAAAGCGUAAUAGCUCACUGGUCGAGUCGGCCUGCGCGGAAGAUGUAACGGGGCUAAACCAUGCACCGAAGCUGCGGCAGCGACACUGUGUGUUGUUGGGUAGGGGAGCGUUCUGUAAGCCUGUGAAGGUGGCCUGUGAGGGUUGCUGGAGGUAUCAGAAGUGCGAAUGCUGACAUAAGUAACGAUAAAGCGGGUGAAAAGCC